UACGUAGGGCGCAAGCGUUGUCCGGAAUUAUUGGGCGUAAAGAGCUCGUAGGCGGCUUGUCACGUCGGAUGUGAAAGCCCGGGGCUUAACCCCGGGUCUGCAUUCGAUACGGGCAGGCUAGAGUUCGGUAGGGGAGAUCGGAAUUCCUGGUGUAGCGGUGAAAUGCGCAGAUAUCAGGAGGAACACCGGUGGCGAAGGCGGAUCUCUGGGCCUUACCUGACGCUGAGGCGCGAAAGCUAGGGGAGCGAACAGG
This 253-nucleotide ribosomal RNA is filed under the name uncultured bacterium. Its description in RNAcentral is "partial 16S ribosomal RNA". It matches the Rfam family "Bacterial small subunit ribosomal RNA", at positions 524 to 776 of the family's 1533-position model. The record is from RNAcentral.